This 524-nucleotide ribosomal RNA is filed under the name uncultured bacterium. RNAcentral describes it as "bacterial SSU rRNA". It matches the Rfam family "Bacterial small subunit ribosomal RNA", at positions 202 to 703 of the family's 1533-position model. The record is from RNAcentral.
GAAAGGGGGCCUCUGUUUACAAGCUCCUGCUUCUGGAUGAGCCCGCGUCCCAUCAGCUAGUUGGUAGGGUAAUGGCCUACCAAGGCUACGACGGGUAGCUGGUCUAAGAGGAUGGCCAGCCACACUGGAACUGAGACACGGUCCAGACUCCUACGGGAGGCAGCAGUGGGGAAUCUUGCGCAAUGGGCGAAAGCCUGACGCAGCGACGCCGCGUGGGUGACGAAGGCCUUCGGGGUUGUAAAGCCCUGUGGGGUAGAACGAACUGGCAUCGGGCUAAUAUCUCGGUGUCUUGACGGUACUGCCUUAGCAAGCAUCGGCUAACUCUGUGCCAGCAGCCGCGGUAAGACAGAGGAUGCGAACGUUGCUCGGAUUUACUGGGCGUAAAGCGCGUGUAGGCGGUCUCGUUAGUCGGGUGUGAAAGCCCCGGGCUCAACCCGGGAAGUGCACCCGAUACUGCGAGACUGGGGUACUGAAGAGGAGAGCGGAAUUCCCGGUGUAGAGGUGAAAUUCGUAGAUAUCGGGAG